Molecule: ribosomal RNA, 484 nt
Filed under: uncultured bacterium
Lineage: Bacteria
Description: bacterial SSU rRNA
Rfam family: Bacterial small subunit ribosomal RNA
Source: RNAcentral
GACGAACGCUGGCGGCGUGCUUAACACAUGCAAGUCGAGCGGUAAGGCCUUUCGGGGUACACGAGCGGCGAACGGGUGAGUAACACGUGGGUGACCUGCCCUUCACUCUGGGAUAAGCCUGGGAAACUGGGUCUAAUACCGGAUAUUCACUUACUUCUGCAUGGGGGUGGGUGGAAAGUUUUUUCGGUGGGGGAUGGGCCCGCGGCCUAUCAGCUUGUUGGUGGGGUGAUGGCCUACCAAGGCGACGACGGGUAGCCGGCCUGAGAGGGCGACCGGCCACACUGGGACUGAGACACGGCCCAGACUCCUACGGGAGGCAGCAGUGGGGAAUAUUGCGCAAUGGGCGGAAGCCUGACGCAGCGACGCCGCGUGGGGGAUGACGGCCUUCGGGUUGUAAACCUCUUUCGACUUCGACGAAGCCUUUGGGUGACGGUAGGGGUGGAAGAAGCACCGGCCAACUACGUGCCAGCCGCCGCAGUAAAAC